This 493-nucleotide long non-coding RNA is filed under the name Linum usitatissimum (flax). Its description in RNAcentral is "long non-coding RNA (LUSI_LNC003683)". Lineage: Eukaryota; Viridiplantae; Streptophyta; Magnoliopsida; Malpighiales; Linaceae. The record is from RNAcentral.
AGGCUGCAGCAGCAAUUCAGAGGAAGUUGGAGCCAGAUCCUAUUUAAGAUGUAUGUUUGCUGGUGGCGGUAGGAUCAAGAACUAGAACUACAUCUAACCUCUGUUUGGUUAGAGGCGGAAAUACCUACAAGAACUUGAACUACAUCUAACCUCUGUUUGGUUAGAGGCGGAAAUAGACGGUGAAUGAAUCUGAAAACUGUGCUGAAUGCUGCUGGACCAAGGUUUCGUCGGGUGUAGUGUAGCAGUAUUUUCGUAUCUAUACGUCUGUUUGCUACUCUUACCAUAUGGCUAGUUUUGUAUGAAGAGUAAGGCGAGUGGUUAUUCAUCUAUCAUUUCGAUUUGAAGGAUACCUACAAAGGCAUAAUGUCCCCGUUUCAAUAGCACAAAGUUGAUGAUUAUGGCAAUCUGAACACUGUUUAUCGGGAGAAAUCAAGGUAGCAAAUAUAAAAUAAAACCAACAAUCUACCCAAGUUAUGAAAUUGGUCUUCACCAG